This 255-nucleotide ribosomal RNA is filed under the name uncultured bacterium. RNAcentral describes it as "partial 16S ribosomal RNA". It matches the Rfam family "Bacterial small subunit ribosomal RNA", at positions 524 to 777 of the family's 1533-position model. The record is from RNAcentral.
GACGAACCGUGCGAACGUUAUUCGGAAUCACUGGGCUUAAAGCGCGUGUAGGCGGGCCGCCACGUCAGUCGCUGAAAUCCCCCGGCUCAACCGGGGAAGUGGCACUGAUACGAGCGGCCUGGAGGGAGGUAGGGGGGGCUGGAACUUCCGGUGGAGCGGUGAAAUGCGUUGAGAUCGGAAGGAACGCCCGUGGCGAAAGCGAGCCCCUGGACCUUUUCUGACGCUGAGACGCGAAAGCUAGGGGAGCGAACGGGG